RNAcentral lists this long non-coding RNA (920 nucleotides) under Salvia miltiorrhiza (redroot sage). RNAcentral describes it as "long non-coding RNA (SMIL_LNC011918)". The record is from RNAcentral. Lineage: Eukaryota; Viridiplantae; Streptophyta; Magnoliopsida; Lamiales; Lamiaceae.
UUUUCGACAUAUUUCUCCAGACCACGCAUUGAACAAUACACAAUGACACAAAACUUAAAUAUCAAACCCAAUUUUCAAAACUAAAAUUAGUUAGCAUAUCAAAAUUAAUGAUCAUGGAGUAGUCUGAUAAUCGUCGCAUUUCCAAGUUCAAAUAUAAAACCUAAUUAUCCACUCAAAACACCCAGCAAAUUAAGUCGACGCAAACAAAUACACACAGUAAGGCAAUUCUCAAUUAAAAUCUCGUGAAAUUGCAGCAGAGAAAAUUAAAAGAACUGACCUUGCUUUGAAAAUUGUGGCUGUGCAAAAACAUCAAGAAGAGUUGGAGGAGGCCACCGUGCACCAUGAUCGGCUCUCGAUCGGAAUCGCGGCGGGCACAAAAUCCACCGAAUAUUCCGCUGGCGUAUCUCUCGAUUUCCACCAGCUUCCGGCAGGUCUCCUCCGUGCAAUCCACGACCUGCACGCCGGAAAACGCCAGGUAGCCGACCUUCCCCGCACGGUGGACGACGAAGCUCUGCGCCGCGUCGGCGUUGGCGCUGCUGCACAACCGCCACGACUCCUCCAGAAGGGGCGUCGACGCUAGGUACGUUGCUAGCAUCUCACUCGACUCGAACCUGCCAUUGGUGAAAAUAAAUAAUAAGAAAUUGAUCGUGCGUUGUGUAAAUUAAUCAAAUUCUGUAGACAAUUCGAAGUCAAAUUAUGGACUGGAAAAUUCUGGUUUCUCGAUUUUUUUUCUUUUCUUUUUCUUUUGAUAGAUGAGCUGUGAGUGUAGAAGAUCAACUAUUCAACUUUUUUUAGAGUAAAGAUCAACUAUUCAACUUACUGGGAAGUUUCGGGUUCCAUUGAAGCUUCCCUUUUCCUUUUUCUUAGCUCCCUUUGAGGUGGUAUGACUUAUGAGGAAGUAAAGUAAGACCAGUUUCUUC